CAGUCGCCACGGUAAUACGAAGGGUGCAAGCGUUAAUCGGAAUUACUGGGCGUAAAGCGCACGCAGGCGGUUUGUUAAGUCAGAUGUGAAAUCCCCGAGCUUAACUUGGGAACUGCAUUUGAAACUGGCAAGCUAGAGUCUUGUAGAGGGGGGUAGAAUUCCAGGUGUAGCGGUGAAAUGCGUAGAGAUCUGGAGGAAUACCGGUGGCGAAGGCGGCCCCCUGGACAAAGACUGACGCUCAGGUGCGAAAGCGUGGGGAGCAAACAGGAUUAGAUACCCCGGUAGUCCCUGUCUCUUAUAA
This 301-nucleotide ribosomal RNA is filed under the name uncultured bacterium. RNAcentral's name for it is "partial 16S ribosomal RNA". It matches the Rfam family "Bacterial small subunit ribosomal RNA", at positions 509 to 809 of the family's 1533-position model. The record is from RNAcentral.